RNAcentral lists this transfer-messenger RNA (354 nucleotides) under Candidatus Onthoplasma faecigallinarum. It matches the Rfam family "transfer-messenger RNA". Rfam says of the family: Bacterial tmRNA, also known as 10Sa RNA or SsrA, is named for its dual tRNA and mRNA-like properties. RNAcentral also lists the same sequence under 1 other name. The record is from RNAcentral. Lineage: Bacteria; Bacillati; Bacillota; Clostridia; Christensenellales; Christensenellaceae.
GGGGAUGAAUUAGUUUCGACUGGCAUACAUUGAUAUUAUACGCAUGUCGUGCGGUGGCACGUUAAACACAUGAUUCGUUCUCGACGAAUAAAAAUAAACGCAGACAACAAUAAAUUAGCUUACGCUGCUUAAUUGCGUAGCCGUCAACUUAUUGGUACCAACACGAUAAGAUUUGGCGUCAUAUGUUGGUGAACGUCAUAAUGUGGUUCCUUACGCAUUGUGAUGAAAAUAAAGGAUAGUUAUUAAAAAGUGUCAAUGUUAAUUUUUAAUGACGAAUUUACCCAUUGACUAAGCAUGUAGUGUAUGGUCUCAAUCUAUGUUAGGACAUGGGUGCGACUCCCAUCAUCUCCACCA